GAUGAACGCUGGCGGCGUGCCUAAUACAUGCAAGUCGAGCGAACGGACGAGAAGCUUGCUUUUCUGAUGUUAGCGGCGGACGGGUGAGUAACACGUGGAUAACCUACCUAUAAGACUGGGAUAACUUCGGGAAACCGGAGCUAAUACCGGAUAAUAUUUUGAACCGCAUGGUUCAAAAGUGAAAGACGGUCUUGCUGUCACUUAUAGAUGGAUCCGCGCUGCAUUAGCUAGUUGGUAAGGUAACGGCUUACCAAGGCAACGAUGCAUAGCCGACCUGAGAGGGUGAUCGGCCACACUGGAACUGAGACACGGUCCAGACUCCUACGGGAGGCAGCAGUAGGGAAUCUUCCGCAAUGGGCGAAAGCCUGACGGAGCAACGCCGCGUGAGUGAUGAAGGUCUUCGGAUCGUAAAACUCUGUUAUUAGGGAAGAACAUAUGUGUAAGUAACUGUGCACAUCUUGACGGUACCUAAUCAGAAAGCCACGGCUAACUACGUGCCAGCAGCCGCGGUAAUACGUAGGUGGCAAGCGUUAUCCGGAAUUAUUGGGCGUAAAGCGCGCGUAGGCGGUUUUUUAAGUCUGAUGUGAAAGCCCACGGCUCAACCGUGGAGGGUCAUUGGAAACUGGAAAACUUGAGUGCAGAAGAGGAAAGUGGAAUUCCAUGUGUAGCGGUGAAAUGCGCAGAGAUAUGGAGGAACACCAGUGGCGAAGGCGACUUUCUGGUCUGUAACUGACGCUGAUGUGCGAAAGCGUGGGGAUCAAACAGGAUUAGAUACCCUGGUAGUCCACGCCGUAAACGAUGAGUGCUAAGUGUUAGGGGGUUUCCGCCCCUUAGUGCUGCAGCUAACGCAUUAAGCACUCCGCCUGGGGAGUACGACCGCAAGGUUGAAACUCAAAGGAAUUGACGGGGACCCGCACAAGCGGUGGAGCAUGUGGUUUAAUUCGAAGCAACGCGAAGAACCUUACCAAAUCUUGACAUCCUUUGACAACUCUAGAGAUAGAGCUUUCCCCUUCGGGGGACAAAGUGACAGGUGGUGCAUGGUUGUCGUCAGCUCGUGUCGUGAGAUGUCGGGUUAAGUCCCGCAACGAGCGCAACCCUUAAGCUUAGUUGCCAUCAUUAAGUUGGGCACUCUAAGUUGACUGCCGGUGACAAACCGGAGGAAGGUGGGGAUGACGUCAAAUCAUCAUGCCCCUUAUGAUUUGGGCUACACACGUGCUACAAUGGACAAUACAAAGGGCAGCGAAACCGCGAGGUCAAGCAAAUCCCAUAAAGUUGUUCUCAGUUCGGAUUGUAGUCUGCAACUCGACUACAUGAAGCUGGAAUCGCUAGUAAUCGUAGAUCAGCAUGCUACGGUGAAUACGUUCCCGGGUCU
Molecule: ribosomal RNA, 1372 nt
Filed under: uncultured bacterium
Lineage: Bacteria
Description: bacterial SSU rRNA
Rfam family: Bacterial small subunit ribosomal RNA
Source: RNAcentral